GAUCAUGGCUCAGGAUGAGCGCUAGCGACAGGCUUAACACAUGCAAGUCGAGGGGCAGCGGGGUGUAGCAAUACACCGCCGGCGACCGGCGCACGGGUGAGUAACGCGUAUGCAACUUGCCUAUCAGAGGGGGAUAACCCGGCGAAAGUCGGACUAAUACCGCAUGAAGCAGGGAUCCCGCAUGGGAAUAUUUGCUAAAGACUCAUCGCUGAUAGAUAGGC
RNAcentral lists this ribosomal RNA (221 nucleotides) under uncultured bacterium. RNAcentral describes it as "partial 16S ribosomal RNA". It matches the Rfam family "Bacterial small subunit ribosomal RNA", at positions 15 to 230 of the family's 1533-position model. The record is from RNAcentral.